Molecule: long non-coding RNA, 3442 nt
Organism: Siniperca chuatsi (mandarin fish)
Lineage: Eukaryota; Metazoa; Chordata; Actinopteri; Centrarchiformes; Sinipercidae
Exons: 2
Source: RefSeq, a predicted model, not a curated record
UCAAUAAAGUAUUUCUGAUUCUGAUUCUGAUGUGUGUGUGUGUGUGUGUGUGUGUGUGUGUUGACAUCUGUAAAGUUGUGAAUUUAACUAAAAGUAAAUAUAUAUACGUUGUCAUGAACACUGUUAUGCUUAUCUGACAGAGAUCAUAAAAAGCAGCGGUAAGCUAUAACAAAACAAUGGCCAAAUGAUGCGGCUGCGCCACACGUCCCAUUUCAUUGGCGUCGCUUUAUGAUGACGGCUGCGAAGCGAGGACAGCGCAUUUCGUUAAAUGCCUGUGGCCUCGCCUCCUCCCUCCGCGUGACUCCUGCUCGCCUCCUCCGCUCGUAGCUCUGGCGGGAGAGGAGCGAGGAGGUGGAAUAAUACAAGCAACAGAGAAGGAACGAUGCUGCCUGCUUGCAGUGUUUUGUCUUUUUUAGCAGAGCCCAAAGCUAAAAGACAGUACCCGCCGCCUGCCCACCCCGCUGCCGAACCAGCAGACUCCAGAGCGGCUUCUUCUCUCAGGCUGCGACACUCCGCUCCACCACAUCAUCUGCACAACACCGUUAAUAAAGAAAUGACUCUCAUUGUUUUUUUUGACAUGGAACUUUCUGUUAUGCUGGUAUUGCACAUUACCAUACAUUUUGCACGCCCUCAUUCCCACUAUAACGUUAUCGUUUAGAGUUUUCUAUUUGCACUAUAACUUAUUACUUAUAUUACACAUCCUGUACAUAUUUUCUGUGUAUAGGUAUAUAUGUAUAGCUAUAUAAGUAAUUGUAUAUCUUCCUUGUAAAUUUAGUUUUCCUUUUUAUCUUUCCUUUAGUGUUAUUUUUUAUAUACUUUGUUCUAUUUUAUUGCCUACUGUUUAUAUUCUCUUAUAAUUUAAAUAUUUGUUCCUACAUUUUCUGUGUGUGUGUAGAGUUUAGGGGGCUACAACUGCAUUUCAUUGUGCAAUCCUGUAUUGUAUAAUGACAAUAAAGCUGAACAUUAACCUUAACAUUAAUCAGUGAGUGACAGAGAUUAAUGACAAUAAACUGUUCACUAAGAAGUUGCAUAAUUUAAAACUUUGUGGACUGCUUUUGUUAGCCCACGAGCCAUGCCAGCUCCUCCGCGAGAAGCACAGUCUAUUACCGGGUGAGUUUUGAAGAUUGGUUUUCCCACAGCCAAAUAAAUAAGACAAGUUGACAAAUCUUACUAUAUCUGUAAUGAAUCACACUUAAAUAUUCUAAUUCCUAACAAAUUCCCAUCCUUAUUUAUGCCAAACAAUUAAAAAGGUGUUUUUACAGUGCACCUGCAGAGGACAAAAACAAACUGCUGGGUUUGAGGAGGAUAACUCUCUUGAUGUUCUCUUUUCGAUGUUAACAUAAGAGUGAUGACACACACAUAUAAACAAUUUAUUGCAACAAAAGGAUGCAUUUUAUUGAAAGUCAAAAUAAAGGUGUAUUAGAGAGUUUUCUCAUUUCUUAUUAGCAUACAAGACAGUACAGUUGUACAUCCUAAGAAAAACAAAGAAAUAAACUAAAUAAAAAAAUCAAACCAUAGAAGGAAAACCUGAAAAGAUACCCUGCUGAUUCUGUUAUUCAGCCCAGAGACCAAGUUGACAGUAGUUUAAACAUUUGGCACUCUUCUGGUAACAGUAAGGACAUUAAAGAGUGAAGUGGGAGGAGAAUUCAGUGGAAAGAUAACAAUUCAUGGAAUCCAAUUCAUUGAGUGUGUAUUCUCCAUCAGUAAUUGGGUCAUGUUUAAUGGAAUGAAGUUUAAAAUAAAUGAUACUUUUGUUUCCUGUUACACCCCUCCCCCACCACAUAAUACAGUGUUGGCAUUGUCCUAGACAAGAUUAACAGAAAACCACCAAGGAGAACAGUGAAAGAUUUGCAUAUAUAAUUAGGGCUCAUUAUUUUUGUUUAUUUUUUUCCAAAAGAACAAACAAAAAGUAAUGGUGUUUCUUUUUAAUAUUUAGAAAAUGUGGUAAAAAUCAGUAAAACACACAAAAAUCCAAAUAUUACAGCUACUAGUGUCUUGUUGCAGCAGGAAACAACACAACAGUUUUUGAUUGUGUGGGGAUCGAGCUUUCGCAGAGCUCGAUCUUGGGUGGAGAUAUAUAUCUCCAAAAUUGCAACUCACCAACCAUCCUCCACUUUACACAAAAAAAAAAAAAACAUGUUUCAAUCCUGAAAUCCCCAAAUGUCCUCCCGGCUCACAGAUGAAGUUGCAAAACCCAACUGUGAACUGUGUCGAGUCAUCAACAAUGAACUGGGAGGAAAUUUCAAAGACACCCCUCGUCCUAAAAAAGGUAGUGAGCAUUUUUUGAUUCUUCAUUAAGAACAUUUCGGUCACAAUAUGUUGUUAAGUGCUGGCAUGCAUCAACAGACAGCGUUGUAAAAAAAUAACACUAAGGGAGGUUGCAUAUUAUUUUACACAGUACUAACCUAAAGUUCGUCCCUCAUACAUUAACAAAGUGGCUCCAAAACAAACAAUUAAGGAUAACAAAUCUGUCCUAAUUUUUUUUUUUUUAAUUGCUCUGUGCCAUGAUAGUAAAAUUAAAGAUAUCCGAUUUUGAUUAUUUAAAGUGAUAAUCCUGAAGAUCAUAUAAAAAUGUGAUACUUAUACGUAUAUGUUUCUGACACAUAAGAUGACCUACAAUAUGACGGUGUAUGCCAACGUCUUUCGCUGUAAAACAUCACAUCAGUAAAAUGUUUUUGUUUUUUUUCAGUUGCUUGGAAUUUGGACGACAGAAUUUUGUAAAAGAUACGACAAUAUAAUCAAUUCACUAUAAUAAGUCAUUCCAAGUCAAUAAACACUAAUAUUUAGUUAGCACCCAGUCCUACACAUGCAGUUUUCCCCAUUGCUGGUCCACUAUUGACAGGAAAUGAUCCAUUUAUAGAUGUGUAUGUGGAAGAGUCCAUUAGCUCUACAGAUAAUUCACACUAUUCAUUUGUAAACUAUUGAAAACAUUCAGUAACCUUACUGCAAGGCAUUCAUAAAAUGCACUGUCACUCUGACCUAUUGCAUGCCCUGUUGCCGUCAGUAACUCACUAUUUGUUGUUUGCUUCAUUAACGCAAAAUAGAGGAAACUAGCGAGCCAUACUGAACAAGUAACGAUGACACCAAACCAUCUGAGAAGUAAAGUGUGGAAGCAUUUGGGAUUCAACACCAGAGAUGGACUAAUUGGGGAUAAAGGUGAGGCUGUUUGCUCCCUUAUAAAAAUGCACCUGCCUUGCAGUAACAUUACCAUGGCAACAAAUAGGAAGUCAACUGUUAGGUCGUCAUUGAGUAAGGAAAUUAAUGGAGCAAAGGUUAUCUCUAUGACAUAGUUUAUGAUUAGGUUAUAUGGAUUGCAUUACAACAAAUUAUGUUUGUAAUUUGUACUUACACAUUUUUUAAAUCAUGAAAGAUGAGUUUUUGUUAAAAAAAAAAAAGAAAAAAGAUCACGUUACUAAUGGAUUAUCUUUCAAAUAAUGGCAGU